CCACUUCAGAAGUCUUCAAGUGAAGCAAUGGGAGUGGAGAAGGAAUAAAGAAAUCUGUAACUGGCUGUGAUCAAUUAAUUGUAAACACC
This is a non-coding RNA of Callorhinus ursinus (northern fur seal), 89 nucleotides long. The record is from RefSeq and is a predicted model, not a curated record. Lineage: Eukaryota; Metazoa; Chordata; Mammalia; Carnivora; Otariidae.